Molecule: ribosomal RNA, 506 nt
Filed under: uncultured bacterium
Lineage: Bacteria
Description: partial 16S ribosomal RNA
Rfam family: Bacterial small subunit ribosomal RNA
Source: RNAcentral
AGUGAACGCUGGCGGUAGGCCUAACACAUGCAAGUCGAACGGCAGCACAGAGGAGCUUGCUCCUUGGGUGGCGAGUGGCGGACGGGUGAGGAAUACAUCGGAAUCUACUUUUUCGGGGGGGAUAACGUAGGGAAACUUACGCUAAUACCGCAUACGACCUACGGGUGAAAGCAGGGGACCCUCGGGCCUUGCGCGAUUGAAUGAGCCGAUGUCGGAUUAGCUAGUUGGCGGGGUAAAGGCCCACCAAGGCGACGAUCCGUAGCUGGUCUGAGAGGAUGAUCAGCCACACUGGAACUGAGACACGGUCCAGACUCCUACGGGAGGCAGCAGUGGGGAAUAUUGGACAAUGGGCGCAAGCCUGAUCCAGCCAUACCGCGUGGGUGAAGAAGGCCUUCGGGUUGUAAAGCCCUUUUGUUGGGAAAGAAAUCCAGCUGGCUAAUACCCGGUUGGGAUGACGGUACCCAAAGAGUAAGCACCGGCUAACUUCGUGCCAGCCGCCGCAGUAA